AAUUUCCCGUGACAAAGUUAAUGCUAUUCACUUUAACCUGUCUGAAAACUAUCUGGACAAGAUAGCUGGACAUGUCUCCUUGGGAGCUAUGUGUGGGAGGAUGGUGUUCUCAAGAAGUACCCUGAAACCUCAGGGUAACACUGAAGGUUGCAGGACUCUUUUAUUGAGUUGUCCUUCUUGGCAGACUCUGAACUUGCUGGAAAUUCUCUGCUACUUCCAAUUACAUCUUAUGUCCAGUAUUUCUGACUGACAGAAAACGAAUUCUCCGUUUCCUUAUUACCAGAAUCAACAUUAUCUGUCAGCAAUACAAAGGGCGAAUGUAAUUAACCACCCACUCACUUGGAACAAGUAGUACCUCGAUUCAUUGAAUUUAGAGCAUCUAAAGCUGUCAGCAACUUGCCAUCUGCUGAGGGUACCUGCCGCCGUCUGAAAUGCCCUCUCGGCUCGGCGCUGGGUUGGUUUUGGAAGGGACAUCUCGCUUCCUCAGCUCUGUUUUGAGAAUGUUUGUGUAGUUUUUGGGUAGAUAAAAGCUGAAUGAGAAAUUGCUCUAGAAGUUGUAAAUUAAUUGCUCCCCAAAUCAGAUCUGUAAGGCCUCCGAUGUAAUUUGUGUCAAUACUGUAGUAAAAAGAGAUUGCACAGCAUCAAUAAUUAACUAUAUGUAUCCUAAUGAAGAACUUGUAAUUCUGUAAACAUUUCUGUGAGUCAUGUAUCCCAGCUGUUAUUCCCUGCGCUCCCCCAAUAUAUGGGAAGGGGAAUGUCAGCUGCAGUGAGCCUGGCUGCUCCUUACAAAGCCAGAUCUGCUGCUUUCUCUCCUCUCCCCGUACUCCUCUACCUCAUUUAAAGGAACGCCAAAUUUGUGUUCUACUUGAAAUUGAAAACAAGUCUUUUAAGAAAGUGAAUUGGUGAACCAGUGUUAAUAGUACAAGUGAUCCCAAAGU
Nothoprocta perdicaria is the source of this 938-nucleotide long non-coding RNA. RefSeq lists it as uncharacterized. Lineage: Eukaryota; Metazoa; Chordata; Aves; Tinamiformes; Tinamidae. The record is from RefSeq and is a predicted model, not a curated record. The transcript has 3 exons.